Molecule: transfer RNA, 76 nt
Filed under: Ruficoccus amylovorans
Lineage: Bacteria; Pseudomonadati; Verrucomicrobiota; Opitutia; Puniceicoccales; Cerasicoccaceae
Description: tRNA-Arg
Rfam family: tRNA
About the family: Transfer RNA (tRNA) molecules are approximately 80 nucleotides in length. Their secondary structure includes four short double-helical elements and three loops (D, anti-codon, and T loops).
Source: RNAcentral
GGGGGCAUAGCUCAGUGGAUAGAGCAGUGGUUUUCUAAACCAUUGGUCGGGGGUUCAAGUCCCUCUGCCCCUGCCA